AGUAACACGUGAGUAACCUGCCCCUUCUUCUGGAUAACCGCAUGAAAGUGUGGCUAAUACGGGAUAUUCUGGGUCUGUCGCAUGGCGGGCCUGGGAAAGAUGCGCCUUUGGGUGUUUUGGUGGGGGAUGGGCUCGCGGCCUAUCAGCUUGUUGGUGGGGUGAUGGCCUACCAAGGCGGUGACGGGUAGCCGGCCUGAGAGGGUGGACGGUCACACUGGGACUGAGACACGGCCCAG
Molecule: ribosomal RNA, 236 nt
Filed under: uncultured bacterium
Lineage: Bacteria
Description: partial 16S ribosomal RNA
Rfam family: Bacterial small subunit ribosomal RNA
Source: RNAcentral